GCAAGUCCAAGUACACGUCCUUGAACGACGGAAACUGCGAACGGCUCAUUAAAUCAGUUGCGAUCUACUCGGCGUUCCGCGCCGCCGGAUAACCGUAGUAAUUCUAGGGCUAAUACGUGCGAAGCGCCCGAAGCCGCGAGGCGACGGGCGUUCUCGCCGGAUGUAGGAACCGACCCGGGGACCGCCGGGGCAACCCGGCGCCCCCGAGACGGGGCGAACCACGGUGAAAUGACGGAUCGUCGGCCCCGCGCCGGCGACUCGCCGAAUGAGUUUCUGACCUAUCAACUCGAGACGGCGGGGUAGAGGCCCGCCGCGGUAACGACGGGUAACGGGGAAUCAGGGUUCGAUUCCGGAGAGGGAGCCCGAGAAACGGCUACCACUUCCAAGGAAGGCAGCAGGCGCGCAACUUACCCUAAUCUCGAUUCGAGGAGGU
This 433-nucleotide ribosomal RNA is filed under the name uncultured eukaryote. RNAcentral's name for it is "bacterial SSU rRNA". It matches the Rfam family "Eukaryotic small subunit ribosomal RNA", at positions 53 to 465 of the family's 1831-position model. The record is from RNAcentral.